UCGUCAGUGAGGUAUAUCCUGACCUGUUCCUCCUCCGGGAGAAACAGUGAAAUGAUGAAUGGAGGCAGCAUGAGACAUGAUUAGAGUCUCCCGCUGGCCGGGGAACGCAACGCCCCGGCCUGCUCCUUUCUGAU
Anolis carolinensis (green anole) is the source of this 134-nucleotide small nucleolar RNA. Its record names the gene U8. It matches the Rfam family "U8 small nucleolar RNA". From Rfam's summary of the family: U8 is a member of the C/D class of snoRNA which contain the C (UGAUGA) and D (CUGA) box motifs. U8 is the RNA component of a small complex (the U8 snoRNP) which is required for accumulation of mature large subunit ribosomal RNAs, 5.8S and 28S rRNAs. The record is from Ensembl. NCBI's taxonomy places the organism in Eukaryota, Metazoa, Chordata, Lepidosauria, Squamata, Anolidae.